RNAcentral lists this long non-coding RNA (609 nucleotides) under Citrus sinensis (sweet orange). Its description in RNAcentral is "long non-coding RNA (CSIN_LNC003631)". The record is from RNAcentral. Lineage: Eukaryota; Viridiplantae; Streptophyta; Magnoliopsida; Sapindales; Rutaceae.
UAUUUUUAAGGCCGGAUGAGAAUUAGUCUCCCAUUAUCUGGAGACCGAAGUUUACUUCCAUCAAAUUUUUAAAUUUCUAAAAUACCCUCCAUUGAAUUAAAAAUAUAAAUUGCAAAAUAAAAUUAAAAAAACAGCAGCAGCAAAUCCCUAACCGCUGCUGCCAAAAUCGAGCUCCAGCCGACAUUGCAGCCAAACCUCACUGUUACUGCUAAAACCAAGUCGUCGUUAUUGAUCCAUUGGCUGUGGAGCAGUAGAUGUUGCCGGUUUCGUCUUCGUCUGGGUCGUCUCCUUUUGGCUUCAUCUCAGUUUUCUCCGUCUUGGUUUAAUUUCCAUUUCGUCUUUGAUAGCCAUGGUUCUGCUCUGAUGAUGAUGAUGAUGUGGCAAUGAUGAUUUGUUAUCGCCUGUGUUGUUGUUGAUGACGAUGAUUCCGAUUUUGACAUUUAUUUUUGAAUGAUAAUCAUUUUUUAUUCUGAUUUUCAUAUUUUGUUGAUGAUAAUGUUGAUGAUUUUUUAUUCUGAUUAUGUUGAUGAUAAUGAUUCCGAUUUUUUUUUUUUGGUUGAUGAUGAUUUUUUAUUCCGAUUUUUUUAUUAUAAUAAUUCUGAUUUUAAU